This 73-nucleotide transfer RNA is filed under the name Bos taurus (domestic cattle). It matches the Rfam family "tRNA". From Rfam's summary of the family: Transfer RNA (tRNA) molecules are approximately 80 nucleotides in length. Their secondary structure includes four short double-helical elements and three loops (D, anti-codon, and T loops). The record is from Rfam by way of RNAcentral. Lineage: Eukaryota; Metazoa; Chordata; Mammalia; Artiodactyla; Bovidae. RNAcentral also lists the same sequence under 4 other names.
UUCCUGGUAGUCCAGUGGCUGGCACUCUGCACUCCCAAUGCAGGGGGCUUGAGUUCAAUCCCUGGUCAGGAAA